Molecule: non-coding RNA, 45 nt
Filed under: Schistosoma haematobium
Lineage: Eukaryota; Metazoa; Platyhelminthes; Trematoda; Strigeidida; Schistosomatidae
Source: RNAcentral
AUUCAACUAACGAGUCUCAAAUAGGAUGAAACACGAGUCCUGGAU